This 907-nucleotide ribosomal RNA is filed under the name uncultured bacterium. RNAcentral's name for it is "bacterial SSU rRNA". It matches the Rfam family "Bacterial small subunit ribosomal RNA", at positions 8 to 916 of the family's 1533-position model. The record is from RNAcentral.
AGAGUUUGAUCCUGGCUCAGAAUCAACGCUGGCGGCGUGCGUAACACAUGCAAGUCGGACGAGAAAGCGGGGGCAGCCUCGUGAGUAAAGUGGCAGACGGGUGAGUAACACGUGAACAAUCUACCCCUGAGUGGGGAAUAACCCCGCGAAAGCGGGGCUAAUACCGCAUAACAUCCUUUUAUCGCAUGGUGAAGGGAUCAAAGGCGCAAGUUGCUCGGGGAGGAGUUCGCGGCUGAUUAGCUAGUUGGUGAGGUAACGGCCCACCAAGGCGACGAUCAGUAGCCGGCCUGAGAGGGCGUACGGCCACACUGGAACUGAGACACGGUCCAGACUCCUACGGGAGGCAGCAGUGGGGAAUUUUGCGCAAUGGGCGAAAGCCUGACGCAGCAACGCCGCGUGGAGGAUGAAGGUCUUCGGAUCGUAAACUCCUGUCAGUGGGGACGAAAGCCCGCAAGGGUUUGACUGUACCCGCUGAGGAAGCCACGGCUAACUCCGUGCCAGCAGCCGCGGUAAUACGGAGGUGGCAAGCGUUGUUCGGAAUUACUGGGCGUAAAGGGCGCGUAGGCGGCAUGGCAAGUCAGAUGUGAAAGCCCCGGGCUUAACUCGGGAAUUGCAUCUGAAACUGCUUUGCUUGAGUCCUGGAGGGGGUAGUGGAAUUCCCAGUGUAGCGGUGAAAUGCGUGGAUAUUGGGAGGAACACCGGUGGCGAAGGCGGCUACCUGGACAGUGACUGACGCUGAUGCGCGAAAGCUAGGGGAGCAAACGGGAUUAGAUACCCCGGUAGUCCUAGCUGUAAACGAUGGGCACUUGGUGUCGGGGGUAUUGAGUCCCCCGGUGCCGGAGUUAACACGUUAAGUGCCCCGCCUGGGGAGUACGGUCGCAAGACUGAAACUCAAAGGAAUUGACGG